UCGUUAUGUUUACAGUUAACAAUUUAAAAAACAAAGUCUUAAACACAAAUAUAUUUUUAGGAAUUAAUUAUUUUAUAUCAUUAAUCACAUAUCUUUUUGUGAUAACAAUAUUCUAAAACUUGUGAAAUUGGAUUAGUGUUUAUUUGACCAUCCAGUAGAUACUAAGGCUGAUGUCGGCAUCCUAAGCAGUUUUAACAAGAGGAUCUGUAUAUAAGCUCUCGUGCAACAUCCUCAUUAGCUCUUUUUCAGUUGAGAGAGCCAUGUUUAAUUUACUAGAGUAACUUGUGUCAUAUCAACAUGGAUAACGUAACCACAUUUAUUAACAAUGCCGUUGACUUUUCAUGGUGUAAAUAAUGUAUACCUAUCAGAAUAACAACC
This 378-nucleotide long non-coding RNA is filed under the name Mytilus galloprovincialis (Mediterranean mussel). The record is from RNAcentral. Lineage: Eukaryota; Metazoa; Mollusca; Bivalvia; Mytilida; Mytilidae.